Molecule: ribosomal RNA, 301 nt
Filed under: uncultured bacterium
Lineage: Bacteria
Description: partial 16S ribosomal RNA
Rfam family: Bacterial small subunit ribosomal RNA
Source: RNAcentral
CAGUAGCCGCGGUAAUACGUAGGUGGCAAGCGUUGUCCGGAAUUAUUGGGCGUAAAGGGCUCGCAGGCGGUUUCUUAAGUCUGAUGUGAAAGCCCCCGGCUCAACCGGGGAGGGUCAUUGGAAACUGGGAAACUUGAGUGCAGAAGAGGAGAGUGGAAUUCCACGUGUAGCGGUGAAAUGCGUAGAGAUGUGGAGGAACACCAGUGGCGAAGGCGACUCUCUGGUCUGUAACUGACGCUGAGGAGCGAAAGCGUGUGGAGCGAACAGGAUUAGAUACCCGGGUAGUCCCUGUCUCUUAUAC